GUCCGCCCGUCGCGUCGCUUCGAUGCGCAUCAGCGCAUGCGCCCCUCGCAGUCGCGACUCGCUUCCUCCUUCCCGUUCCCCAUUCAUCCUAAAGGCCUAAACCCUAGCCUCGCCUCUCCCCGCGCUCCGGCCGCUGGUGCGUCCCCUCCUUCGCCGGACGCCGGCGCCGGUGCAAGUACCCGCCGCCGCCAGCGCAUCUCGUCCAGGGCUGCACGCCCACCUGCGCCCUGUGGGCUGUGCGCCCCCAACGCGAGUUCGACGCCGACCACCGCCAGGUCGACGCCGUCUGCUCGUCACCGCGGGUGGCAGCGCCGCCGGACGGCGCCCUCCAGUGCGGCAGCGCGUGCUGGUCCGGUCUCGCGGCUCCCAGAUCCCGCCGCGGCACCCGCAGUUACUGUGCUGUUGAUGUGCCAGUCCCAGUUCGCCGCACAUGCCCUAAGAUAUGAGAUAGUCUUGUGAAAGAGAUUGGAAAGAUGGCAUCAAAAGGUCCCAGGUCAAAGCUGGACCAUGAGACAAGAGCUAGGCGUCAGAAGGCUCUUGAACCCCCAAGGGAGCCUCGACGGCCAAAAGUUCACUGGGACCAUGUCCUUGCUGAGAUGGUGUGGUUGGCAAAGGAGUUUGAUUCUGAAAGAAAAUGGAAGUUUUCUAUGGCAAAAAAGAUUGCUCAAAGAGCCAACAAGAGCAUUGUUGACCAAGCAACAAAGGGGGAGCGAAAACAGAAGGAGGAGGAGCAUAGAAUGAGAAAAGUUGCCGCAAAUAUUUCUAAGGAUGUGAAGAAGUUCUGGAUCAAAAUAGAAAAACUGGUUGUCUAUAAGCAUCAACUGGAGCUUGAGGAGAGGAAGAAAAAGGCCCUUGAUAAACAGCUUGAUUUCCUUUUAGGUCAAACUGAAAGGUAUUCAACAAUGUUGGCGGAGAACCUUGUGGACAUGCCCUAUCCCCAAAAACUGGAAAAUGGAACUUUGCAGACAAAUCAAUCAUCUCAACCUGAGGAAGUAGCAGAAGAGAAUGUAAAUGCAGCAAUAACUGAUGAUCCUGAUAAUAUGGAAGAGGAUGAUGAUUAUGAAAGCUCCUUGGAUGAAGAGCCUGAAGAUGAUGAGCGUACAAUUGAUGAGGAUGAAGCUCAGAUCACUGAAGCUGAGCGCAAUGAAGAAUUAGCUGCUUUACAGGCAGAAGGAGACCUACCACUGGAUGAUAUUCUCAAGAUGUAUACAGAAACUAAAGUUAGCAGGGAAAGCAGUCCAGACAGCAAAGACACGUUAAGUAACUUAGUCUCGAAGAAUUUGAUUGUAGAUUCUUUGAACCAGGCCAAUGGCUACGAUCAUAAAGAAUCAUGUGACGAUGGCAACUCGUCAAGUGAUGAUUGCAACUCUUCAAGUCAUGAUGGCAAUUCUUCUGAGGAAGAAGACGACGACCAAUCUUAUGCUGAUUUUGUUAAGAAGAAUCAUGGAAGAAGUAAUGGUAAUAUCUCUUCUAUCGAUGAGCAGGAGGAUGAAGACUAUGUUGCUUCUGAUGAAGACGAAGGAAAGGAUGAUGAAACAACUUUGUCUGAGGAGGAGGAGCUGGCAAAGAAAGAAGUUUCUGAUCAUCUGGACGAGAUUAAGUUAUUGCAAAAGGAGAGUGAGAUACCACUAGAAGAACUUGUGAUGUACCAGAAGGAUGGCUAUGCAGAUCAUGAAACAAUGGAGUUGGAGAAUUCACCCUGUCUUGUUGAAGAGACUAAUACUGAUAUGCCUUUGGAUGACCAAUCUACAAACAUUUUAGAAGUGAACAGUGAUACAUUUGUGGAUCACCUAUCCAUUGAUGUGCUGAAAACUGAACAUAAUGUGAGUGCUAAUUCUCUGCAAUCAGAAAUAGCACCAGAGCCUUGUGCACAACAAAAUUUUGUGGAAGAGAAUAAUCUCACUGAUGUUAACACGGUUAAUGGAGAUAAAAGUGAUGAUGUAAUUGCUGACGCUGCAGCUGCUGCCAGAUCAGCACAACCAACUGGUAACACCUUCAUGACAACAAAAGUGCGCACGAAAUUCCCAUUCCUUCUUAAGCAUUCGCUUCGAGAAUACCAGCAUAUAGGGUUGGAUUGGUUGGUUGCUAUGUAUGAGAAGAGGCUUAAUGGAAUUCUAGCAGAUGAAAUGGGUUUAGGCAAGACAAUCAUGACUAUCUCCUUGCUUGCACACCUUGCGUGUGAGAAGGGGAUAUGGGGUCCUCAUCUUAUUGUUGUACCGACAAGUGUUAUGCUAAAUUGGGAGACAGAAUUUCUCAAGUGGUGUCCUGCUUUUAAAAUAUUAACUUACUUUGGAAGUGCAAAGGAGAGAAAGCAGAAGCGUCAGGGCUGGAUGAAACCAAAUUACUUCCAUGUUUGCAUCACAACAUACAGGCUUGUCAUCCAGGACUCUAAAGUGUUUAAGCGAAAAAAGUGGAAAUAUCUUAUUCUUGAUGAGGCUCAUCUGAUAAAGAACUGGAAAUCACAGCGAUGGCAGACUUUGCUUAACUUUAAUUCGAAGCGACGCAUUCUUUUGACUGGAACGCCACUGCAAAAUGACCUUAUGGAACUUUGGUCCCUGAUGCAUUUUCUGAUGCCUCAUGUAUUUCAGUCUCAUCAGGAGUUCAAGGAUUGGUUCUGCAAUCCAAUUUCAGGAAUGGUGGAGGGCCAAGAUAAAGUAAAUAAAGAAGUUAUAGACCGAUUGCACAAUGUCCUUCGUCCAUUUAUACUGCGGCGACUGAAAAGAGAUGUUGAGAAACAGUUACCUAAGAAGCACGAGCAUGUCAUAUAUUGCCGACUUUCAAGAAGGCAAAGGAACUUAUAUGAAGAUUUUAUUGCUAGCUCAGAGACACAAGCAACACUAGCAAGUGGGAAUUAUUUUGGCAUGAUAAGUAUCAUUAUGCAACUUAGAAAGGUCUGUAACCAUCCAGAUCUUUUUGAAGGUCGCUCAAUAAUAAGCUCAUUUGACAUGGCUGGGAUUAACAUGCAUCUGAGCUAUUCAGUAUGCAUGCUCCUUGAUAAGACUCCAUUUUCUCAGGUUGAUCUAUCUGAAAUGAAUUUUCUGUUUACUCAAAAUGAAUUUAGCAUGAGUUCCUGGGAAGCUGACGAGGUGGUUGCUGCUUUUCCUCCGGGUGCUACCUCCCAGGACACUGAUUUGAAUGUUUCUUGCUCUAAUAAGGAUCAUCAGGGAGGUAAUGUAACAAAUAUUUUUGAAGAUAUUCAGAAAGCCCUACGGGAGGAGAGAAUAAAGGAAUCUAGAGAAAGGGCAGCUUCCAUUGCAUGGUGGAAUAGGGUACGGUGUCAAAAGAGGCCUGUCUAUGGCACAGACAUGAGAGAAGUUUUGACUGUAAAGCAUCCUGUAUCUGAUAUUCUCGAGAAGAGGAACAACCCUUUGUGCCACAUGGAUUAUUCAUCGAGCCUUGCAGAUCUUGUUCUUCCAUCUGUGGGACGCUUUCAGAAAAUGCUUGAUGUUGUUGAAUCAUUUACAUUUGCAAUUCCUGCUGCUCGAGCUCCUCCCCCUGUUUGCUGGUGCAGCAAAGGAAAGUCUCCUGUUUUUAUUGAUCCGGCGUACAGAGAAAAAUGCAUGAAUGAGUUCUCUCCCAUUCUGUCUCCUAUAAGGUCUGCUAUUGUUCGCCGUCAGGUUUACUUUCCUGAUAGGCGUUUGAUCCAGUUUGAUUGUGGAAAGUUGCAGGAACUUGCUAUUCUGCUGAGGCGUUUGAAGUCAGAAGGGCACAGGGCCUUGAUAUUUACUCAGAUGACUAAGAUGCUUGAUGUCCUGGAAGAGUUCAUAAAUUUAUAUGGAUAUACAUAUUUACGUUUAGAUGGUUCUACACCUCCAGAAGAGAGGCAGACCCUGAUGCAGAGGUUCAACACAAAUCCGAAGUUUUUCCUUUUUAUUCUAUCUACUCGUAGUGGUGGUGUGGGAAUCAACCUAGUAGGUGCAGACACUGUCAUAUUCUAUGACAGUGACUGGAACCCUGCAAUGGACCAACAGGCACAGGACAGAUGUCACAGGAUUGGUCAGACUCGCGAAGUCCACAUAUAUAGACUCAUUAGUGAAAGCACUAUAGAGGAGAACAUUCUGAAGAAAGCGAAUCAGAAACGAGCUCUUGAUGAUCUAGUGAUACAGCGAGGCAGCUACAAUACAGAGUUCUUCAAGAAGCUUGAUCCUAUGGAGUUUUUUUCCGGGCACACAUCUCUUCGUGUGGAAGACCAGCAGAAAGACUGCUCUGUAAGUGCUGGAUCUUCAAAUGAUUUGGAUGUGGCUUUGUCAAAUGCAGAUGUUGAAGCGGCUAUUAGACAAGCAGAAGAUGAAGCUGACUAUAUGGCUCUUAAGAAGCUGGAGCAGGAAGAAGCCGUGGACAAUCAAGAGUUCAGUGAGGAGGUUGCUGGUAGACCCGAGGAUGAUGAAUUGGUAAAUGAGGACGAUGUAAAACCCGAUGAACAAAUUAAUGAAGAACACAGAUAUAACUCUUCAGAUGUGGAGAGGGAGAAGAAUGUUGCUUUGCCCAUCAAUCAAUUAAACAAAGAAAAGGCUAUUGCAUUGGCUGUUGGUGAUGAAGAUACAGACAUGCUUGCUGAUGUGAAACAGAUGGCUGCCGCCGCAGCUGCUGCAGGACAAGCAAGUUCGUCCUUUGAAAACCAGCUCCGGCCAAUUGAUAGAUAUGCAAUGCGCUUUAUGGAACUCUGGGAUCCAGUAAUUGACAAAGCUGCUAUAAAUCAUCAAGUAAAUGUUGAGGAGGAAGAAUGGGAGCUCGAUCGUAUUGAAAAACUCAAAGAGGAUUUAGAAGCGGAAAUUGAUGAAGACCAGGAACCACUUUCUUAUGAGUCAUGGGAUCUUGAUUUUGCUACAACAGCAUAUCGCCAACAUGUUGAGGCUUUAACUCAAAAGCAGUUGUUGGAAGAACAGGAAAGACAGGCUCGGGAAGCAGCAAAAGAAUUGGAGGAGAUGAAUGAUAAUAUGAGCAGUCACCGUAGAAAGUCAAAAAAGAACAAAAAGAAGACAGGCAAGUUCAAAUCCUUGAAAAGAGGGCGUUUAUCAUCCGAGUCGGAGGUCAUACUGGAGGAAACCUCUAUAGAUACAAUGAGCAUUGAUGACAAUGCACCCUCACCUGAGCAUAUGAGUGAUGACUCACCACGCCAUUAUUCUAACAAGCGUAAGAAGAUUAUGUCUGCUACUGAGGAAGAAAACAGUAACAGCAGAAGUUUGAAGAAGUUCAAGAAAGCCACUAAAUCAAAUUGUAUCUCCGAGGCCUUGUCACCUAGGCACUUGAGGGAAGAGCUUAAUGAUUCAGAUCCAAAAUCAGCAUCUAGAACUAAGAGUGAUGGAAGAAUUUCCAUCCCUUGCAUGCCAGUAAAACGUGUUAUUUUAAUAAAGCCUGAGAGACUAAAAAAGAAGGGACUAUGGUCUCGUGAUUGUACUUCAGACUCAUGGACAUCUGAGGAAGAUGCAGUUCUUUGUGCAACUGUACAUGAGUAUGGUCCUCUUUGGGAACUGGCAAGUGAUUUUCUUCAUUCCUUACCAGGUGGGGCAUUUUAUAGGGGAAGAUAUCGUCAUCCUGUGCAUUGCUGUGAGAGAUACCGAGAACUAUUCUGCAAAUAUGCAAUGUCAGCAACAGAUAAUUCUAACAGUGAAAAGAUUCCUUCUGGGACUGGAAAGGCUAUACUGAGAGUAUCUGAGGAUCAAGCUCAGAUGUUGGUGGAUGUGACCAGUGAACUUCCUAACAAUGAAUUGCUUCUCCAGAAACACUUCAUGGCUGUACUUUCAUCUGUCUGGAGAUCAAAAUGUUGGCGUGGUCCCCACCGUGUUACAAGUACUUACUCUAGUGCACUACGUAUGUUUUCUCCUGCGAAAAAGCAUGGUGAAUCAAGUGAGAACUGGCCCAUGGUAAACUUUAGACCAAGCACCAAUCUAGUGAGGACAGCCCUCGCAGAUGCUCAGGCUCAAUGCACACGAAUGGCGAUUCCGCCACCAAUGAGAAAUCAGGAAUACCGCCAGAAUUAUUUAGAAUUAGAGUUGGAUUUCUUGACAGAUCAACAUCAUUAUGAUGAGGACUUCCCAUCUGUAGUGAAUGUGUCCAUACUAGAACCAGAGCCAAUCAAACAGGCUACGGAACCAGUGGAACAAUCAUUAUUGUCUGGAACUUCUUGUAGACAAGCUGAGAACCGAUUCAGGAUAGCAUCCGAAGCUUGUUACGAAGGUGAAGGUUCUCAUUGGGCAUCAUCAGCUUUCCACAUAAAUGAUGCCACCCGGCACAAAUCUGGUCCAAAGACCAUAGGAAAGCACAAAGCAGCACCAGAAUGUGGAAGACCUCCCAAAUCCAAAAUCCAGAAGAUUACUGAAUCACAUCAGGAAGUGCCAAUUGCCUCCAGUCAUUUUCUCCGGAUGCCUGGAUUGCCAGGUGCAGCUGACUUCAACAUUAACGAGUCCCUAUCUGACUUUGGUAUCAGUGAUUCUGAAUUCAACUACUCUGAGGAUCUGUGGCAAGAGGUUGACUCCCUCGAGUUCCUCCCGAACCAGGAUGACUCUGUUCUCCUUCCUGGUAUUGAGGAGUUAGAGCCUCUUUCAGAUUUCACAGACAUCGGAUGAACAUAGAUGAGUAAAAUUGUUCCUGAUGGCAUGCCCCUCUAUCAAGAGGCCUCUGGCUGGAUCCCAAGGAUAUAGAUCGAGUUGCUCAGCUGGGCACAGAUGUCCUGCAAGCUUGAUCAUGGUUCGCUGGAGCAAAGCUGUUGGCUUGGUGAGGUCACAUUGAUCCGACAAGCUUGGGGGAUGGGUUUGCACUAAUGGCGGCAUUGGGUAAUUUCCAUACAUGUACAGACACAGAAGGGGAAAGAGAAGGCCCUCGGCAUCACCCAUUCGUUGCUGUUUCCCAUGUUUUAUCAUUCUCUAUUUUGUUCAGGGCUGGUUUCCAUCUCUAUAUCAGAAAUUUAUGAUGUGUCAAUGUAGCUGCAAAAGAAUGAUCAGAGUCAAUUGCAGCUUAUGUGAAGGGGAAUGCUGGCUUUUGGGCAGAACCAAUGCAGCUACAGGAAGAAUGAUUAGAGCCAAUGUAGAUGCAAAUGAAUGAGCAAUGCUUGGGAUUAAUAUCAUCAUGAACUGGUCUUCAAGUGCACAUGAGGAUUGCGGUUUCUGGUUUGAUAGUGAUUCUGAAGGCAUUUUUUUUAUUCGAAGGGUGGUUCAUUGGAGGUAAGAGGACCAUAGGUAUAAAUGCACAUAAAUUGAUGCAGUAGUAAUCAAAUGGUCACAUUGUGGACUUGUGGCCCUGUGGACUGCUUCUCGGUUGUUACGCCCUUCACUUCGCAUUCUCUGUAUGAGGUGACUGGUGAUGAGGGGGCUUGGAAAACUGCUGAGUGGGAAUGUCAUUGACACAGUUACCUAGACUGAAAUCUUAAGAAUUGUGUCAGUGGCUUUUCACAUUUCAUGACACUCCUCUUUUCUCUUCUCACAAUGUUAGUAAAUUUAAUGUCAUGAUACUCUUAUGAUACUUCCAUUGAGAUUGGUCUAAGCCUGUAACUCUGCAAUAAUGUGCACGACUCCAUAUUAAUCUGGAGUUGCAUCACUGCAAAGCAACGGCGAGAUGAUUGAGGUCU
RNA transcript from Panicum virgatum (switchgrass), 7564 nucleotides. It is a transcript of the gene named protein PHOTOPERIOD-INDEPENDENT EARLY FLOWERING 1-like, with no coding region annotated. The transcript has 22 exons. Lineage: Eukaryota; Viridiplantae; Streptophyta; Magnoliopsida; Poales; Poaceae. The record is from RefSeq and is a predicted model, not a curated record.